UACGAAGGGGGCUAGCGUUGUUCGGAUUUAUUGGGCGUAAAGGGUGCGCAGGCGGUUUUAUAAGUCAGGUGUGAAAUCCCACAGCUUAACUGUGGACACGCAUUUGAUACUGUUAGACUAGAGUAUGAGAGGGGUGAGAGGAAUUUCCAGUGUAGGGGUGAAAUCCGUAGAUAUUGGAAAGAACACCGGCCGCGAAGGCGUUUCACUGGCUCAUUACUGACGCUCAGGGACGAAAGCCAGGGGAGCAAACGGG
RNAcentral lists this ribosomal RNA (253 nucleotides) under uncultured bacterium. Its description in RNAcentral is "partial 16S ribosomal RNA". It matches the Rfam family "Bacterial small subunit ribosomal RNA", at positions 524 to 776 of the family's 1533-position model. The record is from RNAcentral.